AGAGAGAAGGGCGAAGGGGCGCCGAGCUGGCUUCCUAGAGAGGACAGGAAGGGAAGGCGGGCCGCUCCCCCCCCUCUGACGUCCCUUCCGGCCUGGCCUUUGCCCGCCGGGCUCCUCUCGGGGGAAGCCUGCGGAACUCCCUGCCCCGCGACGCUGAGACGUUGAUGUCAUGUCUGGAAGGAGAGGGGCGAAAGGGGGCAUCCCAGAGCCCUUGUCUCUUUUUAUCCAAGAGAAAGUCAUCUAAAGAAGCGCCCAAACAGAAAGGAGGAUCCCGUCCUACGUCUCUUUCCUGGGCAUCUUGCAAUAACCUCCAUUUUAACUUGGCAUAAAAAGAGGAUUUGCUGCACCUUGCACUAGAACUUGGCAGAGGACCAAGGGGCUCCUUCCGAUCUCCUGGAGACUUCCGGAGAGCCCAGAUGGAUGAGCAAGACUCAGCUGGCCCUGAAGCAGGAAGAGGCCAUGCCAUGGAAACGGGGAGCAGUGGGGGAUUCUGGGAAAACUCUGUGAGGAAGAACCCGGGUCAGGAGGACACCCCUUGCUCAGAGGUGCAGAGCCAGCAGCUCAGGCAGUUCUGCUACCAGGAGGCCAAAGGACCCCGAGAA
Molecule: non-coding RNA, 602 nt
Organism: Podarcis muralis (Common wall lizard)
Lineage: Eukaryota; Metazoa; Chordata; Lepidosauria; Squamata; Lacertidae
Source: RefSeq, a predicted model, not a curated record